UUGUGGAGGUCCCGAAAGCGAGUAGCCUCCGUAGUGACUUCCGAAUGGCUCUUCCUUAGCCGGUGAAGUUCGUCAUCCAGCUUCUUUGAUUUCUUUGUUAAGUGACAAACUUCUCUUCUGAGAUCUCGGAUCAUCGACUUCAUGGGAAUCCCCUAUGUUAGGGGAAGAGCUUUGGCAGGACACUGUCGUUGGAAGAUAAGAGCACCACAACACAAGUUAGUGCCAGAAAACAAAAGAAAAGAAAAUGAAGGCAGAGUAAGACAAAGGAGCUCUCUGUAAAGGAGAAUCCGAUUUUAUUGAUUAAAUAGUUCUUAAGUACAAGAGAACGAGGAAAAGUUACAACAAAAAAAAAAAGAGAAGAAGAGAAGAAUACAGAAUUAGAGGUUUCGGACCUCUGGGGCAAAAGUGGGGGAUCUCGGCACCCCCGGAAGAUCGAUCGUGGUAGUCGGGGAAGUCUCGGCUAGAGGAAAACCGGCAGCAGCUUUAGAGGGUCCAGCUUCACCAUCGGAUGCCCCAUCC
This 519-nucleotide long non-coding RNA is filed under the name Elaeis guineensis (African oil palm). RNAcentral's name for it is "long non-coding RNA (EGUI_LNC033974)". Lineage: Eukaryota; Viridiplantae; Streptophyta; Magnoliopsida; Arecales; Arecaceae. The record is from RNAcentral.